UUUCAAUUAGACUUAAUAUUCCUUGGACUAGGUUCAACUAACGUCUAAAUAUUCAAUGUCGAUUUCAAAAGCAACCAACCAUGAUCUUACUUGCUGUAAAAAGCAAUCAAACCAACAACAGUUCAUAUCUUUUCAGCUUGGAGCAAUCUUCACACGCACAAUCAUGAAAAUAUCUUCCAGAUAUCAAUUCUAACCCAACCUCCUCUCUUUUUCCCUGUAUUAACUCUGAUUUAUUGUCUGCUAAUACUUUUUUGUAGAGGGUGCUUGGAGAUGGUCUUUUGGUUGGCUACUGGACCCAACAACCGGCCUAAACUAGCAUGUGCUAUUGCUGAAUGUGGGGAAAUGUAGAAAUUGAAUUCAAGAGCAGAGCUUUCCAGGAUUUAUUGCAA
RNAcentral lists this unclassified non-coding RNA (389 nucleotides) under Hevea brasiliensis (rubber tree). The record is from RNAcentral. Lineage: Eukaryota; Viridiplantae; Streptophyta; Magnoliopsida; Malpighiales; Euphorbiaceae.